Molecule: transfer-messenger RNA, 353 nt
Filed under: Rudaea sp.
Lineage: Bacteria; Pseudomonadati; Pseudomonadota; Gammaproteobacteria; Lysobacterales; Rhodanobacteraceae
Rfam family: transfer-messenger RNA
About the family: Bacterial tmRNA, also known as 10Sa RNA or SsrA, is named for its dual tRNA and mRNA-like properties. Its role is to liberate the mRNA from a stalled ribosome.
Source: RNAcentral
GGGGGCGAUCGGCUUCGACGGGGGUCACGAAAUCGCCUGGUGCAUGCCGAGGGGGCAGCUUUCCUCGUUAAUCCAGCAGCAAACUUUUAGUUGCCAACGACGACAACUACGCUCUAGCCGCUUAAGGCUGAGUCCCGAACCCACUUGUGCUUGUGCUCGUGGAUGUAGGGUCACUAUCACAAGAUCGCUGCUGAUCGCCGCCAGUCGAUCAUCGGCUAACUCGCAACGGGCUGGUCCGGCGGUGCGCCUUGCACGUUGUGUUGCCGCAGGAUGAGAUCAAACAGCGCGCUAAGCAUGUAGAUCCGGGGACGUAGGACUUUCGGACGCGGGUUCGAUUCCCGCCGCCUCCACCA